AUUCAACGGCCGCGGUAUCCUAACCGUGCGAAGGUAGCGUAAUCACUUGUUCUUUAAAUAAGGACUAGUAUGAAUGGCAUCACGAAGGUUAUACUGUCUCCCCUUUUUAAUCAGUGAAACUAAUCUCCCCGUGAAGAAGCGAGGAUAAAACUAUAAGACGAGAAGACCCUAUGGAGCUUUAGACUAAGCAACUUUUGUUAUUCAAACACUUAUACCCUCCGGAAAUUCAACUAUAUUUUCUCAUAUUGUUUGCCUGUCUUAGGUUGGGGUGACCGCGGAGCACAACAUAACCUCCACAAUGAAAGAAACUUAAUUUCUUAACCCAGAAUUACAAUUCUAAGUACCAAAAAUUUGACAUAAAUUGACCCAAUAUAAUUGAUCAACGAACCAAGUUACCCUAGGGAUAACAGCGCAAUCUACUUCAAGAGCCCCUAUCGACAAGUAGGUUUACGACCUCGAUGUUGGAUCAGGGUAUCCUAGUGGUGCAGCCGCUACUAAAGGUUCGUUUGUUCAACGAUUAA
This 521-nucleotide ribosomal RNA is filed under the name Physalaemus centralis A. RNAcentral describes it as "partial 16S ribosomal RNA". It matches the Rfam family "Bacterial large subunit ribosomal RNA", at positions 1922 to 2591 of the family's 2925-position model. The record is from RNAcentral. Lineage: Eukaryota; Metazoa; Chordata; Amphibia; Anura; Leptodactylidae.